GGCGAUCGCUGGCGGCGUGCUUAACACAUGCAAGUCGAACGGAAAGGCCCUGCUUUUGUGGGGUGCUCGAGUGGCGAACGGGUGAGUAACACGUGAGUAACCUGCCCUUGACUUUGGGAUAACUUCAGGAAACUGGGGCUAAUACCGGAUAGGAGCUCCUGCUGCAUGGUGGGGGUUGGAAAGUUUCGGCGGUUGGGGAUGGACUCGCGGCUUAUCAGCUUGUUGGUGGGGUAGUGGCUUACCAAGGCUUUGACGGGUAGCCGGCCUGAGAGGGUGACCGGCCACAUUGGGACUGAGAUACGGCCCAGACUCCUACGGGAGGCGGCAGUGGGGAAUAUUGCACAAUGGGCGGAAGCCUGAUGCAGCAACGCCGCGUGCGGGAUGACGGCCUUCGGGUUGUAAACCGCUUUCGCCUGUGACGAAGCGUGAGUGACGGUAAUGGGUAAAGAAGCACCGGCUAACUACGUG
This 468-nucleotide ribosomal RNA is filed under the name uncultured bacterium. Its description in RNAcentral is "partial 16S ribosomal RNA". It matches the Rfam family "Bacterial small subunit ribosomal RNA", at positions 28 to 507 of the family's 1533-position model. The record is from RNAcentral.